CUUGAUGGACCCGAGCCACAGCGGGUCGCCGUCGCCGCGCUCCUGCCCGUAGGUGGCCAUCAGGGCCUGGGCCUC
This is an antisense RNA of 75 nucleotides. It matches the Rfam family "ASpks TB sRNA".